UUAAGUGUGGGGCCCCUCAAAUUUGGUGGCCCUAGUCCUUUGACCCUUCAUUCAUGAAGAAGGACCGGCCCUGUGUAGGGGAAGGGUGAUAUGUUUAAAGUAUAGUCUACAAAUAAACUGUUUUCAUUCCCCCAUAGAGAGGAGACUGUUUCAUUGAGGAAGCGUUUACUUUUCAUAAUUGAGUAUUUUUAUCCUUAUUACUAUGAUUUCUCUAAUCCCAUCCUCUCAAUAGGAUAUGAAUUAGCUCAAAUGAUAGAAAUAAUCACAGACUUUGGGAUAUCCCAAAGCUCCAAACCAUCUAUACUGUUUUUAUCUCUCUAGGCUCAUCCUCAAAAGGAAGUGCCCCUGAAUGAAUAAAACAACGUUCAAGAUCAAGUUGGAGUCUGGUUUUGUGUUGAUUAAUGAUGAAGAGCAAACUGAUACCUUGAGAAUUAUACUGCAGUGCAGUGCAUAAGCUCAUUGCCAUUGCUAGGCAUCUUUUUGUCGUAGUCCAUAGUAAUCAUUUGUAUGUUACCGGUUGAAGAAUUAUAGGCAACGACAAGGGUCAUAAAGUUUCUCAUCUCUAAUAGGUUUUUCAAAUUCUAUCAUCCCGUUUACCCCUUGCCCUCCAACAAAGGAUAUUAGCAAAAACAAAAUCUAAAUAGAAAAAAAUAUUUAAUCUGAAGUGCCACGCUACUGUCCAUGUUCCCCCCCAAAAAAAAGUAGAGCAGGUUUUCACUGAAAAAAUAGAAGACGUUGAUAGGGAAGAAAUUAACUUAAAACGGUAAAAGUCCAAAUUAUGGAAAGCAGAAGCGGAGGAGAGAAAAUAGAGCAUCGAAAAUAAACAUAGUAGGGAGAAAAGAUAGAAGUAGAUACUUUGAGCGUAGAGGGGAGGGUGAGGCGGGAGCGAGGUGAAGGGCCGAUGGUUCGCAGAGUGAUGUCAACCAUUUUUUCAUCUUCUUCGAUGAGAUCCGCCAUUACUGCAAUCAAUUGUUGUACCUCAAUGCUACAAAUCAGACAGAUGCUACAAUCAGGAGUUGGUGGUAUUGUAAUUCGAUUUGGCCUUGGCCUUCGAAUUGGGGAGAAUUUUGGAGAGGCCUUUUGAUCAGGCAGCCACCAGUAAAUUUCAAAGGAAUUAUCCAACUUCCCAAUUCCCGUUAAAU
RNAcentral lists this long non-coding RNA (1142 nucleotides) under Salvia miltiorrhiza (redroot sage). RNAcentral describes it as "long non-coding RNA (SMIL_LNC010227)". The record is from RNAcentral. Lineage: Eukaryota; Viridiplantae; Streptophyta; Magnoliopsida; Lamiales; Lamiaceae.